UACGUAGGUGGCAAGCGUUGUCCGGAUUUACUGGGCGUAAAGAGCGCGCAGGCGGUCGUUUAAGUCGAAUGUGAAAGCCCCCGGCUCAACUGGGGAGGGUCAUUCGAUACUGAUCGACUUGAAGGCAGGAGAGAGAAGUGGAAUUCCCGGUGUAGUGGUGAAAUGCGUAGAUAUCAGGAGGAACACCGGUGGCGAAGGCGGGUCUCUGGGCAGUAACUGACGCUGAGGAGCGAAAGCGUGGGGAGCGAACAGG
This 253-nucleotide ribosomal RNA is filed under the name uncultured bacterium. Its description in RNAcentral is "partial 16S ribosomal RNA". It matches the Rfam family "Bacterial small subunit ribosomal RNA", at positions 524 to 776 of the family's 1533-position model. The record is from RNAcentral.